Molecule: long non-coding RNA, 1100 nt
Organism: Suricata suricatta (meerkat)
Lineage: Eukaryota; Metazoa; Chordata; Mammalia; Carnivora; Herpestidae
Exons: 3
Source: RefSeq, a predicted model, not a curated record
GCUCUGCCACAAACUCUAUCCAUUUUGGGCCCCCACCUGGAAAUCACUGUCAAUCCCUCUUAUACCCUCCUUUGGGUCAUCUAGAUGGUGCCCACUGGGGCUCCCAAAAUAGUUAUGUUCAUAUUUCCUGGUGUCUCUUCUUUUCUAGGACCCAGCCACAGGGAGCAAGACCAGAAAUGUCCUGAUUUCAGUUCCAUUUAGAGAUUCCCCUGCUGCCCAUACCUGCCUCCUUAGUGCAGCAUGUGACCAUCUUCAGAUCAUGUGAUUGAUGAACUCAGCAUAAGGCCCCGAGUGCCAACCCUGAACCAGCCUGAGUGCCAGCACACUUUCUGGGAGUGUUGGGGCAAAGACACUAUCUCUUUCUGGCUUGAUCUGAACAAGGAAGCAUGCAGCGCUGGUCAUCUUCACACUGUGAAGGAAUGCAACCAACACCCCCAGAAGACAGAGAAUGGGGAUGGGGUUGGAAAAGAAACCCGGGGACUGAGCCACAGAGAGGGAGCUUGCUGAUGCAAACCCUUCGGGGAGUUUUCAAUCAUAUGGUGGUGACCUUCUUGAUCUCCGAGAGAAUGCUGUUUGAAUGAAUAAAUGGAUGGGCAGCAGAAAUGAGGAGAAACCCAGUUGCUCCUGUAUGUUGAGGGUUUGUUUCAGGCCACUCCACUUGCUGUUCAUUUUUCCUCCUGAUUCAUGGCCAUUUACCAGUUCAAGAGCUGAGUCCCCUGAGGAAUCUUCCAUGAUGAUGAUAUCCAUGGCCAGAAACCGAGGUCUUCUUGGUGAUGAGAAGCACAGAUCCACCAAUGCUUAUGAAAUCUUGCAACAUGAGAAAUUAACUCCGAGAGGAUCGUGAGGGUGCACCUGCAUCUCUUGUCAGGCAGUAAAUGGCAGAAACUUCGAUGCAUCCAUUUUUUAAAUCAGGGUCUUGGCCCCAAAACACUUUGCAGGAAUGUCACCAUGUGACUCUGAGCUCGGGAAGGGUGAUAUUUAGAGGCCUCAACGGCCUCCUGUUCCACAAAUGAAGACAUGGAGUGAGAUGGUGAAGGGGGUUUAAGCAGGUAUGGGCCUUUCAUUCUUCACUGUAUGGCUUGAAUAAAUAUCUGAUGUGU